GGCCUCUUUCCCAUGGGGCUGUAGGGGGUCCCUUUUCUCCGCAGCCAGGAUUGGAGGCCAAAAUCAGCCCCUGAGGAUCAUCAUCAGGGCCACCAUGAGCUGGGCAGCCUUGUUUUCUGACCUCAGACAUGU
This is a non-coding RNA of Diceros bicornis minor, 132 nucleotides long. The record is from RefSeq and is a predicted model, not a curated record. NCBI's taxonomy places the organism in Eukaryota, Metazoa, Chordata, Mammalia, Perissodactyla, Rhinocerotidae.